AAAAAAACAAUCUGAAAAAAAAAGAAGAAGAUAAAGUCGUCAAAUUGGUAUA
This 52-nucleotide small RNA is filed under the name Arabidopsis thaliana (thale cress). RNAcentral describes it as "ATSL150930". The record is from RNAcentral. Lineage: Eukaryota; Viridiplantae; Streptophyta; Magnoliopsida; Brassicales; Brassicaceae.